Molecule: ribosomal RNA, 180 nt
Filed under: uncultured Glomeromycotina
Lineage: Eukaryota; Fungi; Glomeromycota
Description: partial small subunit ribosomal RNA
Source: RNAcentral
AACCUGGUUGGGUGGUCUGCCUUCACGGUACGUACUGCUUGGCCGGGUUCUACCUCUUGGUGAGCCGGCAUGCCCUUCACUGGGUGUGUCGGGGAACCAGGACUUUUACUUUGAGAAAAUUAGAGUGUUCAAAGCAGGCAAAUGCCCGAAUACAUUAGCAUGGAAUAAUAGAAUAGGACU